CAAGACGUAGCUAUAAUAAAAGCACUCGGCCUACACCCGAGAGAUAUCUGCCACUCACCAGAUCGCCUUGA
RNAcentral lists this transfer RNA (71 nucleotides) under Anhinga melanogaster (Oriental darter). RNAcentral's name for it is "tRNA-Val". The record is from RNAcentral. Lineage: Eukaryota; Metazoa; Chordata; Aves; Suliformes; Anhingidae.